RNAcentral lists this ribosomal RNA (465 nucleotides) under uncultured Klebsiella sp. RNAcentral's name for it is "bacterial SSU rRNA". It matches the Rfam family "Bacterial small subunit ribosomal RNA", at positions 338 to 795 of the family's 1533-position model. The record is from RNAcentral. Lineage: Bacteria; Pseudomonadati; Pseudomonadota; Gammaproteobacteria; Enterobacterales; Enterobacteriaceae.
CCUACGGGAGGCAGCAGUGGGGAAUAUUGCACAAUGGGCGCAAGCCUGAUGCAGCCAUGCCGCGUGUGUGAAGAAGGCCUUCGGGUUGUAAAGCACUUUCAGCGGGGAGGAAGGCGUUAAGGUUAAUAACCUUGUCGAUUGACGUUACCCGCAGAAGAAGCACCGGCUAACUCCGUGCCAGCAGCCGCGGUAAUACGGAGGAUGCAAGCGUUAAUCGGAAUUACUGGGCGUAAAGCGCACGCAGGCGGUCUGUCAAGUCGGAUGUGAAAUCCCCGGGCUCAACCUGGGAACUGCAUUCGAAACUGGCAGGCUAGAGUCUUGUAGAGGGGGGUAGAAUUCCAGGUGUAGCGGUGAAAUGCGUAGAGAUCUGGAGGAAUACCGGUGGCGAAGGCGGCCCCCUGGACAAAGACUGACGCUCAGGUGCGAAAGCGUGGGGAGCAAACAGGAUUAGAUACCCUUGUAGUC